GAGGGUAACAGCUUAGCAGUAGAGUGCAUGCUUAGCAUAUUUGAGGUCCUGGGUUCAAUCCCCAGUACCUCCA
This 73-nucleotide transfer RNA is filed under the name Camelus bactrianus (Bactrian camel). It matches the Rfam family "tRNA". From Rfam's summary of the family: Transfer RNA (tRNA) molecules are approximately 80 nucleotides in length. Their secondary structure includes four short double-helical elements and three loops (D, anti-codon, and T loops). Further hydrogen bonds mediate the characteristic L-shaped molecular structure. tRNAs have two regions of fundamental functional importance: the anti-codon, which is responsible for specific mRNA codon recognition, and the 3' end, to which the tRNAs corresponding amino acid is attached (by aminoacyl-tRNA synthetases). tRNAs cope with the degeneracy of the genetic code in two manners: having more than one tRNA (with a specific anti-codon) for a particular amino acid; and 'wobble' base-pairing, i.e. permitting non-standard base-pairing at the 3rd anti-codon position. Lineage: Eukaryota; Metazoa; Chordata; Mammalia; Artiodactyla; Camelidae. RNAcentral also lists the same sequence under 2 other names. The record is from Rfam by way of RNAcentral.